This 2695-nucleotide ribosomal RNA is filed under the name Elenchus japonicus. Its description in RNAcentral is "partial 18S rRNA". The stretch from base 381 to 2694 matches the Rfam family "Eukaryotic small subunit ribosomal RNA". Lineage: Eukaryota; Metazoa; Arthropoda; Insecta; Strepsiptera; Elenchidae. The record is from RNAcentral.
CAUGUGUAAGUACUAGCCAAAACUAAAAUGGUGAAACCGCGAAAAGCUCAUUAAAUCGGCUUUGGUUCCUUAGAUAGUAAGCAGAAAUGAUUUUUCAAAAAUUAAAUGUAAAUUUGAUUUUGAAAAAAAAAAUUCUGACAUUGGAUAACUGUGGUAAUUCUAGAGCUAAUACAUGAAAAUUAAAUCAGUGUGAAAUUUUUUUGUAAAAGAAAAAUAUUUUACACGCUUUUAUUAGAGGAAAAAGCCAAUUUAAAAUAAUUUUUUUCUUUAAAAAAUUAUUUAAUAUUAAUAAAAUAAAUUUAAAAUUUUGAAAAUUUUAAAUUUUUAAAGUGUUGAAUCUGAAUAACUUAAACAAAUUUCUAUAAAAAGUGUGUAAUUAAUAUUUUUAAGUAACAAUUAUGUUAUUUUUGAAAAUGUUAAUUAUGUUUUUUUAUAUAUAGAAAUUUAAAGCUGACCGCAACAAUAUGCUUUUUAAAAAAAUUUUUAUAAUGAAAAUUUUUUCAAAUAGUAUUGCGGCGUAUCUUUCAAUUGUCUGCCUUAUCAACUUUCGAUGGUAGGUUACAUGCCUACCAUGGUUAUAACGGGUAACGGAGAAUCAGGGUUCGAUUCCGGAGAGGGAGCCUGAGAAACGGCUACCACAUCUAAGGAAGGCAGCAGGCACGCAAAUUACCCACUCCCGGCUCGGGGAGGUAGUGACGAUAAAUAACGAUACGGAACUCUUAUGAGUUUCCGUGAUCGGAAUGAGUGUAAUUUAAAUCCUUAUACGAGGAGCAAAUGGAGGGCAAGUCUGGUGCCAGCAGCCGCGGUAAUUCCAGCUCCAUUAGCAUAUAUUAAAGUUGUUGCGUUUAAAAAGCUCGUAGUCGAAUCUGUAUCUCGGCGUGUCAAUCGUUUAGUAAUUUAAAUAUUGCUAAAUUUGAUUUGACAAAUUUCGCAUGAGAUAUAAAUAUUGGUGGAUUUUUAAGUAAUUAUAUUUAUAAAAAAAAUUUUAUUAAUUUUUUUUAUAUUUAUAUAAUUAUUAAAUUCGAUACAAAAUAAAUUUUUUUAUUAAUAUAAAUUAUUUAUAGAAAAAGUGAUUUUUUUUUGCUUAAUAUUGAAAAAAUUUUAAGUAUUUUAAAAAAAAGUUAGUCAAUUUUAAUUAAUUUGAUUAAUAACUUUUUUAUUUUAAAUAAUUUAAUUAAUUAUCGUGAAAAUAUUUUGUAUUCUAAUUAAAAUUUAUAUUAAAUUUUAUUAUUUUAGACCAAUAAAAUUACUUUGAACAAAUUAGAGUGCUUAAAGCAGGCAAAAUUAAAUGCCUUGAAUAUAAACAGCAUGGAAUAAUAGAAUAUGAUCUCGAUACUGUUUUUUCUAAAUUGGCUUAAAGAAUAAAUAAUUUUUGAAAAAAUUUUAUUUUAGAAAAUAUAUUAAAUUUUUUUAAUUAAAAAUUUAAUUAUUUUCAUGAUAUAAAUAAAAUUAAAAAUAUUUAUUUCGACAGUGUAUUGAGAUAAUGAUCAAUAGAAACAGAUGGGGGCAUUCGUAUUACGACGUAAGAGGUGAAAUUCUUAGAUCGUCGUAAGACGAACUGAAGCGAAAGCGUUUGUCAAAAAUGUUUUCAUUGAUCAAGAACGAAAGUUAGAGGCUCGAAGACGAUUAGAUACCGUCCUAGUUCUAACCAUAAACUAUGCCGACUAGUGAUCCGUCGAUGUUCAUUUAAAUUGACUCGACGGGCAACUUCCGGGAAACCAAAGUUUUUAGGUUCCGGGGGAAGUAUGGUUGCAAAGCUGAAACUUAAAGGAAUUGACGGAAGGGCACCACCAGGAGUGGAGCUUGCGGCUUAAUUUGACUCAACACGGGAAAUCUCACCAGGCCCAGACACCGAAAGGAUUAACAGAUUAAUAGCUCUUUUUUAAUUCGGUGGGUGGUGGUGCAUGGCCGUUCUUAGUUGGUGGAGCGAUCUGUCUGGUUAAUUCCGAUAACGAACGAGAUUCUAACCUACUAACUAGACGUUAAAUGUUUUAUUAAACUUAAGAAAUUUUUAAAGAAAAUUUAUUUUAAAAAUUUAAAAAAAAAAACUCUUUUUUAUUAAUACAUUUUUGUAUUAUAAAAAAGAUGUAUUUUUUUUAAAUUUUUGGAGAUAAUUUUUUUUUAAGUUUUGUUUAGUAAGCAUUUUAUCCGAUAUUUUUGAAGUUGUUCAAUAAAAUAGUAAAUUUUUUUUUUUUUUAAAAUAAAAGUUUAAUAUUUUAUUGACUUUCGCUAUCGGCGUAUUUUAUAUUUUCUUCUUAGAGGGACAGGUGGAUUUUAUAAGCCACACGAGAAGGAGCAAUAACAGGUCUGUGAUGCCCUUAGAUGUUCUGGGCUGCACGCGUGCUACAAUGAAAAAAUCAACGUGUUAAUAAAAAAUUUUCUUUUCCGAUAGGAAUGGAUAAACCGUUGAAAAUUUUUCUUGUUUUGGAAUCGGGGAUUGAAAUUAUUYUCCGUGAACGAGGAAUUCCCAGUAAGCGUGAGUCAUAAGCUUGCGUUGAUUACGUCCCUGCCCUUUGUACACACCGCCCGUCGCUACUACCGAUUGAAUGAUUUAGUGAGGUYUUCGGACUGUCACACGAUUUAAACAUUUCGAUGUUAUCGUUGUUUUGAUAGAAAGAUGCCCAAACUUGAUUAUUUAGAGGAAGUAAAAGUCGUAACAAGGUUUCCGUAGGUGAACCUGCGGAAGGAUCAUUAA